Molecule: ribosomal RNA, 917 nt
Filed under: Angustimassarina premilcurensis
Lineage: Eukaryota; Fungi; Ascomycota; Dothideomycetes; Pleosporales; Amorosiaceae
Description: eukaryotic LSU rRNA
Rfam family: Eukaryotic large subunit ribosomal RNA
Source: RNAcentral
CUGACUUAAGCAUAUCAAUAAGCGGAGGAAAGAAACCCUCAGGGAUKSCCUAGUAACGGCGAGUGAAGCGGCAACAGCUCAAAUUUGAAAUCUGGCCUCUUUGGGGGUCCGAGUUGUAAUUUGCAGAGGGUGCUUUGGCGUUGGCUGUGGUCUAAGUUCCUUGGAACAGGACGUCGCAGAGGGUGAGAAUCCCGUAUGUGGCCGCCAGUCUUCGCCGUGUAAAGCCCCUUCGACGAGUCGAGUUGUUUGGGAAUGCAGCUCUAAAUGGGAGGUAAAUUUCUUCUAAAGCUAAAUAUUGGCCAGAGACCGAUAGCGCACAAGUAGAGUGAUCGAAAGAUGAAAAGCACUUUGGAAAGAGAGUCAAAAAGCACGUGAAAUUGUUGAAAGGGAAGCGCUUGCAGCCAGACUUGCUUGCAGUUGUUCAGCCGGGCUCUUGCCCGGUCUACUCUUCUGCUCGCAGGCCAGCAUCAGUCCGGGCGGUUGGAUAAAGGCCUAUUAAACGUACCUCCCCUCGGGGAGGACUUAUAGGGUAGGCGACAUGCAACCAGCCCGGAUUGAGGUCCGCGCAUCUGCUAGGAUGCUGGCGUAAUGGCUGUAAGCGGCCCGUCUUGAAACACGGACCAAGGAGUCUAACAUCUAUGCGAGUGUUUGGGUGUCAAGCCCGAGCGCGUAAUGAAAGUGAACGGAGGUGGGAACCUUUCGGGGUGCACCAUCGACCGAUCCUGAUGUCUUCGGAUGGAUUUGAGUAAGAGCAUAGCUGUUGGGACCCGAAAGAUGGUGAACUAUGCCUGAAUAGGGUGAAGCCAGAGGAAACUCUGGUGGAGGCUCGCAGCGGUUCUGACGUGCAAAUCGAUCGUCAAAUUUGGGCAUAGGGGCGAAAGACUAAUCGAACUAUCUAGUAGCUGGUUUCCUGCCGA